This 301-nucleotide ribosomal RNA is filed under the name uncultured bacterium. RNAcentral describes it as "partial 16S ribosomal RNA". It matches the Rfam family "Bacterial small subunit ribosomal RNA", at positions 509 to 807 of the family's 1533-position model. The record is from RNAcentral.
CAGCAGCCGCGGUAAUACGAGGGGGGCAAGCGUUGUUCGGAACUAUUGGGCGUAAAGGGCGCGUAGGCGGUUUGGCAAGUUUGGUGUGAAAUCUUCGGGCUCAACUCGAAGUCUGCACCGAAAACUGCCGGGCUUGAGUAUGGGAGAGGUGAGUGGAAUUUCCGGUGUAGCGGUGAAAUGCGUAGAUAUCGGAAGGAACACCUGUGGCGAAAGCGGCUCACUGGACCAUUACUGACGCUGAGGCGCGAAAGCUAGGGGAGCAAACAGGAUUAGAUACCCCAGUAGUCCAUGUCUCUUAUAC